GACGAACGCUGGCGGCGUGCUUAACACAUGCAAGUCGAACGGAAAGGCCCUGCUUUUGUGGGUUUCUCGAUUGGCGAACGGGUGAGUAACACGUGAGUAACCUCCCCUUGACUUUGGGAUAACUUCAGGAAACUGGGGCUCAUACCGGAUAUGAGCUCCUGCUGCAUGGUGGGGUUUGGAAAGUUUCGGCGGUUGGGGAUGGGCUCGCGGCUUAUCAGCUUGUUUGUGUGGUAGUGGCUUACCAAGGCUUUGACGGGUAGCCGGCCUGAGAGGGUUAACGGCCACAUUGGGACUGAGAGACGGAGCAGAAUGCUACGGGAGGCAGCAGUGGGGAAUAUUGCACAAUGGGCGGAAGCCUGAUGCAGCAACGCCGCGUGCGGGAUGACGGCCUUCGGGUUGUAAACCGCUUUCGACUGUGACGAAGAGUGAGUGACGGUAAUGGGUAAAGAAGCAACGGCUAACUACGUG
This 468-nucleotide ribosomal RNA is filed under the name uncultured bacterium. Its description in RNAcentral is "partial 16S ribosomal RNA". It matches the Rfam family "Bacterial small subunit ribosomal RNA", at positions 28 to 507 of the family's 1533-position model. The record is from RNAcentral.